AUGACUUGUGAUAUCCUUUCUAUAUUUCUGUGCUUGAACAGGCUGCCUGAGGAAGUUCCAUUUCUUCUUGUCCCUGUCACUGAACACUUGCUUUCCUUUUCGCUUUUCCGCCUGUGCUUCCUGUGUGAGGGUGAGCAGCGUGAAGCCGGCCCCGCGCUGCACUUCUGGGCCUCAGGUUCCCGUCCACACCUACCUGCCGCGGUCCUUGUCCGGGGAGCUCAGCCUCGGCCCGGAAGCCAAGUACGCAGGGCCAUCCAGUGGGGUGUGUGUGUGCAGAAACUUAGCUCCCCUUAUGUGUUUGCCACUGCCAUGUUCACAGUUUACAAAUUGUUAAUUGGGGGCCUCUAUGAACGUCUUGAAAUUAUAUCUGACAUUCUGUGUUACCUGUGUGAGAGGAGUGGGUGCCUAGCUGUACCUCAAAGGGCUGGGACCCCAAAAACAUAGGGAAAAAAUAGGAGCUGACUCUUAGAUCUCCUCCACCUCCACCAACACCACCAUAUUCUCUUUAAAAAUAAUAAUAAUAAACUGUGGAUCGCGAGCAACUGUGAAAAGCUGUAGCGAUGAUUCAUUUAUUCUGGCACCUAUACAUUUUAUUGGUACUCAUUUGUUUCUCAUCUAGUUUGAUAGCUGUAUUUGGCAAUUUUCGAGUGGGAAAGCUGAAGGUAGCUGGAAUCCUUUUGCUGGGCGGGGAGGGGAGGUAUAGGUCUUACAUAUACCCCAAGGGGAUGUGAGAAAUUAGAGGCUAUAAAGUUCCUCCUUCCUAUCGGGAAUAGAAGAACCAUGUGAGAACCAUGUGGUGCAAUAAAUUCUGGUUGUGAGGUAUUAAAUUAUUAGAUU
Molecule: long non-coding RNA, 837 nt
Filed under: Capra hircus (goat)
Lineage: Eukaryota; Metazoa; Chordata; Mammalia; Artiodactyla; Bovidae
Description: lncRNA (ENSCHIG00010015024.1)
Source: RNAcentral